GCAAAACUUCUACUCAGAGAUGAAGGAGGUGAGGGAUACCUCUCGGACGCAGGUGCGAAAGAUUCCCUUCACGUCAGCGACGAGGGCCUGGAUGGCCGCCAAGAAGGCAUCAUUCGCCCA
This 120-nucleotide non-coding RNA is filed under the name Symbiodinium sp. Mp. The record is from RNAcentral. Lineage: Eukaryota; Dinophyceae; Suessiales; Symbiodiniaceae.